RNAcentral lists this ribosomal RNA (550 nucleotides) under Glomus sp. DGGE AB-3. RNAcentral's name for it is "SSU rRNA". It matches the Rfam family "Eukaryotic small subunit ribosomal RNA", at positions 548 to 1098 of the family's 1831-position model. The record is from RNAcentral. Lineage: Eukaryota; Fungi; Glomeromycota; Glomeromycetes; Glomerales; Glomeraceae.
UUGGAGGGCAAGUCUGGUGCCAGCAGCCGCGGUAAUUCCAGCUCCAAUAGCGUAUAUUAAAGUUGUUGCAGUUAAAAAGCUCGUAGUUGAAUUUCGGGAUCAAUAUAACGGUCAUGCCGUUGGUAUGCACUGUUAUNAUUGAUUUCUCACCUUCUAAAGAACCGUAAUGCCAUUAAUUUGGUGUCACGGGGAAUUAGGACUGUUACCUUGAAAAAAUUAGAGUGUUUAAAGCAGGCUCACGCUUGAAUACAUUAGCAUGGAAUAAUGAAAUAGGACAUCCGAUUCUAUUUUGUUGGUUUCUAGGAUCGAUGUAAUGAUUAAUAGGGAUAGUUGGGGGCAUUAGUAUUCAAUUGUCAGAGGUGAAAUUCUUGGAUUUAUUGAAGACUAACUACUGCGAAAGCAUUUGCCAAGGAUGUUUUCAUUAAUCAAGAACGAAAGUUAGGGGAUCGAAGACGAUCAGAUACCGGCGUAGUCUUAACCAUAAACUAUGCCGACUAGGGAUCGGAUGAUGNUAAUUUUUUAAUGACUCAUUCGGCGCCUUACGGGAAAC